Molecule: long non-coding RNA, 405 nt
Organism: Hemicordylus capensis (graceful crag lizard)
Lineage: Eukaryota; Metazoa; Chordata; Lepidosauria; Squamata; Cordylidae
Exons: 3
Source: RefSeq, a predicted model, not a curated record
CUCUUACCCACCACAGUUCUCUCUGCCCAGCACAGACCGGCCUUUGCCUGCUUAAUGGAGAUAUUCCUGUGAACAGAAGAAAAAAAAUAAUUGGCAUAGCAAUGCCUUACAGCCCUGAAGGAUUCAUGAAAAAAUGGAGAAGGUAGAAAGACAUCCAGACGAAGACCGCAUUCAAGGCCUCCUUCCUGUGUUCCCCAGCUAUGACUCUGUCUAUUUGUAGCUUCUAAUUUGUGUGGAUUGGCUGGAAGUGGCCAGAAGUACCUAGCAUGCGUGCAUGCACAUGUUGUGCAUGUGCUCUUACAUGUCAGAUGGGCUCAUGUAUGUGUGCUCAUGCACCAGCUACUUCCAGCCACUUUUGACUGAAGAGGAGAAGGGGUGGCAGGGAGGUACACUGCCACCCCAAAG